Molecule: ribosomal RNA, 301 nt
Filed under: uncultured bacterium
Lineage: Bacteria
Description: partial 16S ribosomal RNA
Rfam family: Bacterial small subunit ribosomal RNA
Source: RNAcentral
CAGUAGCCGCGGUAACACGAGGGGGGCAAGCGUUGUUCGGAAUUAUUGGGCGUAAAGGGUGCGUAGGCGGUUUGGCAAGUUUGGUGUGAAAUCUUCGGGCUCAACUCGAAGUCUGCAUCGAAAACUGCCGGGCUUGAGUAUGGGAGAGGUGAGUGGAAUUUCCGGUGUAGCGGUGAAAUGCGUAGAUAUCGGAAGGAACACCUGUGGCGAAAGCGGCUCACUGGACCAUAACUGACGCUGAUGCACGAAAGCUAGGGGAGCAAACAGGAUUAGAUACCCGGGUAGUCCCUGUCUCUUAUAA